Molecule: long non-coding RNA, 1176 nt
Organism: Danio aesculapii
Lineage: Eukaryota; Metazoa; Chordata; Actinopteri; Cypriniformes; Danionidae
Exons: 3
Source: RefSeq, a predicted model, not a curated record
UAGAGGCGCAAGAGACCUCACGUUCAGCACGAGACUCACCUUUGGCUCUGUAAACAACACGACGCUUGACCACAGUCAAAACAAAGCUUUCUGACCGUUUUGAAGAUAUAAAAGUAAAUUUCCUGCAGGUGACAGUCAGUGAGAGCCUUUAAAUGUCAUUUAUCAGCACACAUUUCAGCCCUUCAGGCAAAAACACGCAACUAUCCCCGGAUGAAGUGCAGGAAUGCCGGACACUCCAUCACCUUUCAGCCUACUUUACUGUAUUAGCGCUCCAGGUGUGUCCGAGCCGUCACUGCUUUGUCUUACUGCCCCAGGAUUGUCCGUGUUUUUGCCUUACCGCCACAGAUGAGCUUGUGAUUCAUUGAACACAGCUGGCAGAUCCUUUAUGGUUCAUCAGUCCUCAUGUCAGUCUGAUCAACUGCUUCUGAGCUGGACCUGAGAGAGACAUCUAGUGCUCAAUGCUGAAAUUACAGCUCAUUCACAAACAAAUGAGUGGAAUAUUGUCCCAGGUAAGGUAAAAAAACACAAUCAUCAUGACAAUUGUAAAUAAACUUUUUAUUAAGAAUACAGCUCCUCAUAUUUGAUGUUUUUUUUUUGCCUGUAAACACUUUUAAUCAGUGCCACUGAGUAACCCAUGAAAGAUUAGUCUUCAUAAUCUCUUGCCUCCGGGUCAAAGUUUAGUGACAGACAGUGUGUGUUAGACUCGUCUGCAGGCUAUAUGAGAUGUUUUGUGGCUUAGCGAGCAGCGGUCGAUAACAUCCAGGAACGUUGAGUUUAAGGGGAGUCACUCUGAAUCGGCAGCACUCUAAACCGUCUUGAGCCAAUCAGUCUUGAUACCAUUGACCCAAAAGGUUUUCUGGAUACUUGACACUAUUUCCUGGCAUAGGAAGAAUCACCUGGAUGAAAAACCACAGAGACACAGUAAGAGACUGAUGGGUAACAGUUACUGUAGACAUACAGAGCAAAUAGACAUCUGAAACAGUACCUGGUCUAAUGAGAAUACCUCAUUCUUCUCCUCAUCUGAAGUCACAACAUGGAUCUACAGCACUGAAAAUGAAUCAAAAUGAAUAGAAAUACCACAAAUAAGGGCAAGAAAUAAUAAAACAAAUGUACAAACAUACUACAUACAUGCAUUUAUGUACACCCGCUCUUCUUUAAUAAAACAUUUGAAAGAGA